RNAcentral lists this ribosomal RNA (468 nucleotides) under uncultured bacterium. RNAcentral describes it as "partial 16S ribosomal RNA". It matches the Rfam family "Bacterial small subunit ribosomal RNA", at positions 28 to 507 of the family's 1533-position model. The record is from RNAcentral.
GACGAACGCUGGCGGCGUGCUUAACACAUGCAAGUCGAACGGAAAGGCCCUGCUUUUGUGGGGUGCUCGAGUGGCGAACGGGUGAGUAACACGUGAGUAACCUGCCCUUGACUUUGGGAUAACUUCAGGAAACUGGGGCUAAUACCGGAUAGGAGCUCCUGCUGCAUGGUGGGGGUUGGAAAGUUUCGGCGGUUGGGGAUGGACUGGCGGCUUAUCAGCUUGUUGGUGGGGUAGUGGCUUACCAAGGCUUUGACGGGUAGCCGGCCUGAGAGGGUGACCGGCCACAUUGGGACUGAGAUACGGCCCAGACUCCUACGGGAGGCAGCAGUGGGGAAUAUUGCACAAUGGGCGGAAGCCCGAUGCAGCAACGCCGCGUGCGGGAUGACGGCCUUCGGGUUGUAAACCGCUUUCGCCUGUGACGAAGCGUGAGUGACGGUAAUGGGUAAAGAAGCACCGGCUAACUACGUG